CCCCAGAGAUGCCAGAGAAGGUGCUGGGCACAGCGAGGGAUGCUGGCCUUGCCACCCUCAGGCAAGGAAGUUACAGAACUAUUAUAGGAACAGUGGAUCAUCUUCAGGUAUGACGAACAAAAAGCAAUAGGUGUAUGGUUGCACAGGUGUCAGUGUGCUGAGGAGGUCUGAGUAAAAGAUUAGGACGCCCUGAUAAAUGUUGAGCCCCUAUCUACUUUUCUUAGAGAAGGAUUCCUAGGACAAGUAGGUACUGAAGGUGUCAGUGUUGGGGAUGGAGAGUCAUAGUGGUGAUAAGCCUGGUAAGUAACCUCACCAGGACGUGCCAAAGACAGGUCAGCGAGGGAAGGGACUGUGGAAGCAAGGUAAGGGGAGGUGAAGUUGUAGUGGAAUUUGGGAGGUGCUUACUGAUCUUCUUGCAGGCCCUACAAAUGUUAUUCAAACCUCUGGGCAAAUGUAUUAGUCACUUGACCCUCCACGAACUCCUCCAAGGACUUCAGGGAUUAACGCUGUUGCCACCUGGCUCCUCAGAGCGGCCAGUCACCGUGGUGCUUCAGAAUCAGUUUGGAAUAUCUUUGCUCUAUGCCCUGCUGAGCCAUGGGGAGCAACUGGUAUCGCUGCAUUCUUCCCUAGAGGAACCCAACAGUGACCAUACAGCUUGGUAAGAUCAUAAAGGCCUUGUAAAUACUAUCUAGUACCCUCGGGAUGUGCAGACUGAGCCAGGUGAGGUAUUUCCUGAGGCAUUUUCAAGUACUGAGGAAGAGGUUGGAUAGAGAAAGUAGUAGCAGUGUUGUAGCUGUUCUGCUUUUUUUCUAUAGUGCCCUAGAGUUUCGGUUUCUUCUAGGAGGCAGUAUAACAUAGUACCUAAGGGGACAAGCUUUAGAGUUUAAAAAGACCUACGUUUGAAUUCUGGCUGUAUCACUUACUAGCAAUAUAACUUUAGGGCAAGUUCUUUCACUUCUCACUUCUCUUAGUUUGUUUCUUUAUCUACAAACUAGGGAUGAUGGUAUUAACCCCUCAUAGUUCUUAAGAUUAAAUAGGAAGGGAAAUGUGUAAAGCACUAAGCAUUGCUUGGCACGUACCAAACAUGCAAAUGUUACCUCUGAAUUGCUACCUGGGGGUGGGGGACAAUGGUAGUAGUAACGGAAAGAUAAUAAGAAACCUUGGCCCUGAGUCUGUUUCUUAAGCAAAUCUAUUUGCUUAUAUUUAUAUUUAUGCUCUCUAGGACAGACAUGGUGGUUCUGAUUGCCUGGGAGAUAGCCCAAAUGCCUACAGCCUCUCUGGCAGAACCCCUAGCUUUCCCCAGCAACCUACUUCCCCUGUUCUGUCACCACGUGGACAAGCAAUUGGUUCAGCAGCUGGAGGCCAGGAUGGAGUUUGCCUGGAUUUACUGAUCUGUUUGUUCUGGAAUACGUGUAUGUGGGAAGUUGAAUCAUCAGACACUAGCUACAUAGAGUAUGUUUACA
This 1463-nucleotide long non-coding RNA is filed under the name Pan troglodytes (chimpanzee). RNAcentral's name for it is "long non-coding RNA NONPTRT005618". Lineage: Eukaryota; Metazoa; Chordata; Mammalia; Primates; Hominidae. The record is from RNAcentral.